GUGGGGAAUAUUGGACAAUGGGCGAAAGCCUGAUCCAGCCAUGCCGCGUGUGUGAAGAAGGUCUUCGGAUUGUAAAGCACUUUAAGUUGGGAGGAAGGGUAGUAACCUAAUACGUUGCUACUUUGACGUUACCGACAGAAUAAGCACCGGCUAACUUCGUGCCAGCAGCCGCGGUAAUACGAAGGGUGCAAGCGUUAAUCGGAAUUACUGGGCGUAAAGCGCGCGUAGGUGGUUCAGUAAGUUGGAAGUGAAAUCCCCGGGGUCAACCUGGGAACUGCGUUCAAAACUGCUGGGCUAGAGUACGGUAGAGGGUGGUGGAAUUUCCUGUGUAGCGGUGAAAUGCGUAGAUAUAGGAAGGAACACCAGUGGCGAAGGCGACCACCUGGACUGAUACUGACACUGAGGUGCGAAAGCGUGGGGAGCAAACAGGAUUAGAAACCCUGGUAGUCC
This 450-nucleotide ribosomal RNA is filed under the name uncultured bacterium. RNAcentral's name for it is "partial 16S ribosomal RNA". It matches the Rfam family "Bacterial small subunit ribosomal RNA", at positions 354 to 796 of the family's 1533-position model. The record is from RNAcentral.